RNAcentral lists this ribosomal RNA (421 nucleotides) under uncultured archaeon. Its description in RNAcentral is "partial 16S ribosomal RNA". It matches the Rfam family "Archaeal small subunit ribosomal RNA", at positions 323 to 746 of the family's 1478-position model. The record is from RNAcentral.
CUACGGGUGGCAGCAGUUAGGAAUAAUCUACAAUGCGCGAAAGCGUGAUAGUUUGAGCCAGAGUGCGUUCCAUUCGGAAUGCUUUUGCCAAAUGUAAAAAGUUUGGCGAAUAAGGACUGGGUAAGACGAGUGCCAGCCGCCGCGGUAAUACUCGCGGUCCAAGUCGCAGUCAUUUUUAUUGGGCCUAAAACAUCCGUAGCUUGCUUUGUAAGUCCCUUGUGAAAUUUUAUGUCUCAAGCAUGAAGCGGGCAAGGGGUACUACAAAGCUAGAGACUGGGAGACGCAGGAAGUAUGUUCAAAGUAGCGGUAAAAUGUGUUAAUCUUGAACAGACUAUCAAUAGCGAAGGCAUCCUGCGAGAACAGUUCUGACAGUAAGGGAUGAAAGCUAGGGGCGCAAAUGGGAUUAGAUACCCUUGUAGUC